Molecule: long non-coding RNA, 622 nt
Organism: Oncorhynchus masou masou (cherry salmon)
Lineage: Eukaryota; Metazoa; Chordata; Actinopteri; Salmoniformes; Salmonidae
Exons: 4
Source: RefSeq, a predicted model, not a curated record
UUCCCAUGCAGUGACAGUAAGUUGACUAACUGUUCAAGACCUUUCCCCUUCACUUCACUCUACGGCAGGGUGGGAGAUGCAACAAUGUCCUUGAGAACAGCAGGAAGUGUGUUGGUGGUCUUUCUCUGGUCUGUGGCAGUGGUACUGAGUCAGAAUGGCUGGAGUGUGACUUACACCACUCAGAGUAUCUGUACCUUGAAGGGGUCAACAGUGGAGAUGUCCUGCUCUUACACAUAUCCCAGAGGUUAUACAGUCACAACAACCUUGUGGUUCAGUGAAAUGUAUGAUGUGGAAAAUUAUGUCAGUCUGUUAGAUGACCCAGACUACAAAGGACGUGUGACGUACCGUAGUGAUAAGAUGAAUGGACACACCCUGACAAUCACAGACCUGAGAGAGAGUGACUCAGCUACGUACAAGUUCAGAUUUAUAGCAAAUCAGACCAGAGGGAAAUAUUUUGGGAGCCCUGGAGUCACUUUGUCUGUUACAGACCUGCAGGUGAAGGUGACCACUACAUGGUGGUCAAUGACACUGACCUGUAGCACCACCUGUACUCUGACUGACAACCCCACCUACAUCUGGUACAGGAACAGUACGAUUGUACAAGAGGACUCCUUCCCCUCAU